GACGAACGCUGGCGGCGUGCCUAAUACAUGCAAGUCGAACGCACGAAGUUGAAGAGCUUGCUCUUUAACCAAGUGAGUGGCGGACGGGUGAGUAACACGUGGGUAACCUGCCCAUUAGAGGGGGAUAACAUUCGGAAACGGAUGCUAAUACCGCAUAGUUUCAGGAAUCGCAUGAUUCUUGAAGGAAAGGUGGCUUCGGCUACCACUAAUGGAUGGACCCGCGGCGUAUUAGCUAGUUGGUGAGGUAAUGGCUCACCAAGGCAAUGAUACGUAGCCGACCUGAGAGGGUGAUCGGCCACACUGGGACUGAGACACGGCCCAGACUCCUACGGGAGGCAGCAGUAGGGAAUCUUCCGCAAUGGACGAAAGUCUGACGGAGCAACGCCGCGUGAGUGAAGAAGGUUUUCGGAUCGUAAAACUCUGUUGUUAAAGAAGAACAAGGAUGAGAGUAACUGCUCAUCCCCUGACGGUAUUUAACCAGAAAGCCACGGCUAACUACGUGCCAGCAGCCGCGGUAAUACGUAGGUGGCAAGCGUUGUCCGGAUUUAUUGGGCGUAAAGCGAGCGCAGGCGGUUCUUUAAGUCUGAUGUGAAAGCCCCCGGCUCAACCGGGGAGGGUCAUUGGAAACUGGAGAACUUGAGUGCAGAAGAGGAGAGUGGAAUUCCACGUGUAGCGGUGAAAUGCGUAGAUAUGUGGAGGAACACCAGUGGCGAAGGCGACUCUCUGGGUCUGUAACUGACGCUGAGCUCGAAAGCGUGGGGAGCAACAGG
Molecule: ribosomal RNA, 770 nt
Filed under: uncultured Vagococcus sp.
Lineage: Bacteria; Bacillati; Bacillota; Bacilli; Lactobacillales; Enterococcaceae
Description: bacterial SSU rRNA
Rfam family: Bacterial small subunit ribosomal RNA
Source: RNAcentral